This 440-nucleotide ribosomal RNA is filed under the name uncultured bacterium. RNAcentral's name for it is "partial 16S ribosomal RNA". It matches the Rfam family "Bacterial small subunit ribosomal RNA", at positions 338 to 795 of the family's 1533-position model. The record is from RNAcentral.
CCUACGGGUGGCAGCAGUGGGGGAUAUUGCACAAUGGGGGGAACCCUGAUGCAGCGACGCCGCGUGGGUGAAGAAGCGCCUCGGCGCGUAAAGCCCUGUCAGCAGGGAAGAAAAUGACGGUACCUGAAGAAGAAGCCCCGGCUAACUACGUGCCAGCAGCCGCGGUAAUACGUAGGGGGCAAGCGUUAUCCGGAUGUAAUGGGUGGAAAGGGGGCGGAGGCGGUGAUGACAGCCAGGAGUGAAAGCCCGGGGCCCAACCCCGGGACUGCACUUGAAACUGCGUGGCUGGAGUGCAGGAGGGGCAGGCGGAAUUCCUGGUGUAGCGGUGAAAUGCGUAGAUAUCAGGAGGAACACCGGUGGCGAAGGCGACCUUCUGGACUGCAACUGACGUUGAGGCCCGAAAGCGUGGGGAGCAAACAGGAUUAGAUACCCGUGUAGUC